AAAAAAAAAAAAAAAAAUUUUUUAGCCUAAUUAAUUAAUGAACAAUUAAUAAUAUUUCAUCUCUUUCUAAUCCCAAAUUUUUCUUUGGUCUCAUUUGCUUACAAGUUACAGGCUAAAGAAACUUCAAGACAAAAACAAAGGAAAGGAAAUCAUUUUUUUUUUUUUUUUUUUGUGGAAGACGUCUCUUCUUCUUCUUCUAAAAAUCUAAGGAACAGAACAGAAGUGAGAUUGGGCUGAUCUUGAAAGAAUUAAUGGUUAUGUUUCUAGAAAUCCAGUCAACCUAAGAAUUGAAUUCCUAACUUGGCUCAAAUCCCUUCCUUUUAAUGUCCUUCCAUUUCCAGUGCAAACAGAGAAUGCCAUUUUCCCUUGAAUUCUCCUCCCAAUUAUAACAUGCGGCGGAAUCAAUUCCUCUCUAUCAAAUUCCUCUUCAAAAUCAUCACCAGCCUCCGAAAACUGCAACACAUUGCUGCAAGGGAUAUUCACAGGCACGGAAGAACAAGUUGUUGUCGAUUUCUUCUGCUUCUUUAUGUUGCCACUCCGAUUACUAUUAUUAUUAUUUUCACGAUCCAUUUCCUUGAAGCCGAUGUGGUGCUGGUGGUGGUCGGAGAAAAUGAUAUCGGAUUCCUGAAGCUCUUCGGCGGCCAUGUAAUAA
This 652-nucleotide unclassified non-coding RNA is filed under the name Hevea brasiliensis (rubber tree). Lineage: Eukaryota; Viridiplantae; Streptophyta; Magnoliopsida; Malpighiales; Euphorbiaceae. The record is from RNAcentral.